UGUCUGUGUGUGUCAAAAACUCCAAAGGGAUUAUGUCCCUGAAUCCCUGGGUCCCUCUGUCCCCCAGCACCACCCAGGGCCCCACCAUUAACUGUAUAAGCCCUGUCCCUGUGUGUUUUACCAAAAUAUAGCACCUCACACUUACCCAGAUUAAA
Molecule: non-coding RNA, 155 nt
Organism: Chiloscyllium plagiosum (whitespotted bambooshark)
Lineage: Eukaryota; Metazoa; Chordata; Chondrichthyes; Orectolobiformes; Hemiscylliidae
Source: RefSeq, a predicted model, not a curated record